This is a long non-coding RNA of Nicotiana tabacum (common tobacco), 1243 nucleotides long. RefSeq lists it as uncharacterized. NCBI's taxonomy places the organism in Eukaryota, Viridiplantae, Streptophyta, Magnoliopsida, Solanales, Solanaceae. The record is from RefSeq and is a predicted model, not a curated record.
UUUACUGUAUUUAGCUUUUCUCUCUUUCCUUUUUUCUUUAAAUUUUAUUUUCUUGCCUUAAUUAUCCUACUCAUUUCUUACUAAUUAUCAUAGACAAUCUCUUCCCUAAUUACUCAAAUCAUAAAGUAUUUCUUCUCUUAAAGAACGAAUUUUAGCAGAAGAUUUGGGUACGAAUCUCUUUGGAGAAUCAGUCUAUGUUCAAGAUGUCACCAUAUAGUUAAGAAUUUCGAAUUUCUCGCGAGUUUCACUCUCUCUAUUAUCAAGUUUGAUUUGAUAUAAUUUUUUCAGAGAAUCUCAAUCUUGGGCCUAGACUUGACAAUUUUGGCCAAAGUUCAACUCUUCACACCUGAGUUUGGAGUAACAGGGGGAUUAGGAAAGCUCAUAAGAGUCUAUGAGGAGUCUGCCAAAGUUUGAAGUUCAGUUAGUUAAUUUCCUAGACUAUAGUUAUAAGCUUUAUUCAGAUAGCAUGUAAUAACUGAAUGUAAUAGUGAAACGAGGCUACUUGGGAUAAGGGAUAUUUGAUGCUUGUGUACUAUGUGAUUACCUGCUGUUAUUUGCUUUCAUUUCUUCUUGAAAACCUGUUAACACGUUAAAUUGGAUAGCUUUUGCAUUUGAGCUUUCUGUGGUGUCUUGGUCCUUAAUAAAGUUUUCUUACUAGUAUGUUGGGCUCACUUUAAAAGAUAAAGAUUGUAAGUUUUUGCACGAAAGGGUAUUUUCGUAUUGUGAGGAUGAGUGAUAGUGCAGGAUGGGUGUUUUCAUGCUAUGAGGAUGAGUGAUAUUGCAGGAAGAGUAUUUCCAUGCAGAUGAGGAUUAGAGAUAUUAGCACGAUGGGUAUUUCCAUGCGUUUUGAUAUGAUAUUAGCACGAUGGGUGUUUCCAUGCAAUAUGAUAUAAUAGUGGCAUGAUGGGUAUUUCUGUACAGUGAGGAUGAGAGUUCAUGUACGAUGAAUGCUUCAGUGCAGGCGAAGAUGGGAGUCAUGCAUUAUAUUAUGUUUAUUCCUCAUAUACACAUAUAUUUAUCCUACCUUAUUUGUUACUAUUACAUAUACGCAUCCUACCUUGUUUGCCACUGUUACAAUAUAUGUAUCCUACCUUUAUUGCUAUUGUUACAUAUAUGCAUCCUACCUUUAUUGCUACUGUUACAUAUAUGUAUCCUUCCUUAUUUGUUAUUAUUACACAUAUGCAUCUUACCUUAUUUGUUACCGUUACAAAUAUGCAUAAUAAGGAUGAGAGUUAUUGGCACA